GACAGAGGAGGCAAGCGUUAUCCGGAAUUAUUGGGCUUAAAGGGCGCGUAGGCGGUGAUACAAGUCUGAGGUGGAAUUCAUAAGCUUAACUUAUGGACUGCCUUAGAAACUGUAUUACUUGAGUCGGCUAGGGGGAGGCGGAAUUCCUGGUGUAGCGGUGAAAUGCGUAGAUAUCAGGAGGAAGGCCUGUGGCGAAGGCGGCCUUCUGGGGCUUGACUGACACUGAGGCGCGAAAGCGUGGGGAGCAAACAGG
This 253-nucleotide ribosomal RNA is filed under the name uncultured bacterium. RNAcentral describes it as "partial 16S ribosomal RNA". It matches the Rfam family "Bacterial small subunit ribosomal RNA", at positions 524 to 776 of the family's 1533-position model. The record is from RNAcentral.